Molecule: ribosomal RNA, 814 nt
Filed under: Leiorreuma hypomelaenum
Lineage: Eukaryota; Fungi; Ascomycota; Lecanoromycetes; Ostropales; Graphidaceae
Description: SSU rRNA
Rfam family: Bacterial small subunit ribosomal RNA
Source: RNAcentral
CUUGGAGGAAUGUAUAGGGAAAACUGGUAAAAUGUGAUGUACCUGAUAGUAUUAGAAAUUAAUAUGAAAUUAACUAAGUUAAUUAAAAUUCGGAGUAGAUAUGUGAUUAUGACAAUAUUUGCUUAUUUCUUGACCAAGUCACGUGCCAGCAGUCGCGGUAAUACGUGGUAGAUCAGUGUUAUUCAUCUUUAAUAGGUUUAAAGGGUACCUAGACGGUUAAUUAAGCAUAUUUAUGUACUAAUUAUUAACUAGAGUUUAAUGUAAGAAGGAUUGAGUACGGUGAGUGUAGAGAUAAAAUUCUGUCAUACCACUUAGGAACUGGUAAAGGCGAAGGCAACCUUUUAUGUAAAAACUGACGUUAAGGGACGAAGGCUCGUAUUAAGUAAUAGGAUUAGAGACCCUAGUAUUGUGGGCAGACAAUGAUGAGUGUCAUAUGCAAGAAAAUAUUUGUGUAUAAAUGAAAGUGUAAGCACUCCACCUCAAGAGUAACGUGGCAACAUGGGAACUGAAAUCAUUAGACCGUUUCUGAAACUCGUAGUGAAGUAUGUUGUUUAAUUUGAUAAUCCUCAAAUAACCUUACCACAAUUUGAAUUACUGGUGCUUUACUUCAAACAUUUAUUAGUUGUUUAUGAGUAGUUUAUUAGUAACAAGCGUUGCACGGCUGUCUUCAGUCAAUGUUGUGAAACUUUGGUUAGAUCCAUUAAAUUGACGUAAACCCUUGCUUUAUUUGUUAUAGAGCAGUUCGCCGCUAUAUUGGUAGUGAUAUAAGGGACUAAGACAAGUCAUCAUGACCUAAACAUUGUGGGCUAUAGAC